CAGUCGCCGCGGUAAUACGGAGGGGGCUAGCGUUGUUCGGAAUUACUGGGCGUAAAGCGCACGUAGGCGGCUUGGUAAGUUAGAGGUGAGAGCCUGGAGCUCAACUCCAGAAUUGCCUUUAGGACUGCCGAGCUAGCAGGUGAGAGAGGUAAGUGGAAUUCCGAGUGUAGAGGUGAAAUUCGUAGAUAUUCGGAAGAACACCAGUGGCGAAGGCGGCUUACUGGCUCAUACUGGACGCUGAGGUGCGAAAGCGUGGGGAGCAAACAGGAUUAGAUACCCCCGUAGUCCCUGUCUCUUAUAC
RNAcentral lists this ribosomal RNA (301 nucleotides) under uncultured bacterium. Its description in RNAcentral is "partial 16S ribosomal RNA". It matches the Rfam family "Bacterial small subunit ribosomal RNA", at positions 509 to 807 of the family's 1533-position model. The record is from RNAcentral.